UUGAAAGGGAAACGAUUGAAGUCAGUCAUGCCGGUGGGAAUCAACUUAGGGGAAACUCUAGGUGCACUUCUUCGCUUGGCAGGUCAACGUCGAUUUUGAAUGUCAUAAAAUAAUUGGGGGAAGGUAGCUCCUUCGGGAGUGUUAUAGCCCUUGAUAGAUGUGAUGUUUGGGGUCGAGGAUUGCAACGGAUACCCUCUGGGGCUAGCCGCCUGAUCUCUAAUCGGUGUUGGGUUACGGAUAGCAUGCUGACCGUGAUCUAAUUACUGGUUAAAAGGUUAGANNNUGCAUAAAUUCGUUAAGGAUGUUGACGUA
RNAcentral lists this ribosomal RNA (312 nucleotides) under uncultured Glomeromycotina. RNAcentral's name for it is "LSU rRNA". Lineage: Eukaryota; Fungi; Glomeromycota. The record is from RNAcentral.